Molecule: ribosomal RNA, 372 nt
Filed under: uncultured bacterium
Lineage: Bacteria
Description: bacterial SSU rRNA
Rfam family: Bacterial small subunit ribosomal RNA
Source: RNAcentral
GACGAACGCUGGCGGCGUGCCUAACACAUGCAAGUGGAGCGACGAACCAGGCUUCGGCCUGGGGCAAAGCCGCGAACGGGUGAGUAACACGUGGGUAACCUGCCCCGAUGAUUGGGACAACCCGAGGAAACUCGGGCUAAUACCGAAUGUGCCCCACAGCUUCAAGGCUGGUGGGGAAAGGAAGCUUCGGCCUCCGCAUCGGGAUGGGCCCGCGGCCCAUUAGCUUGUUGGUGAGGUAACGGCUCACCAAGGCUACGAUGGGUAGCUGGUCUGAGAGGACGAUCAGCCACACUGGGACUGAGACACGGCCCAGACUCCUACGGGAGGGCAGCAGUGGGGAAUCUUGCGCAAUGCGCGAAAGCGUGACGCAGC